This 500-nucleotide ribosomal RNA is filed under the name uncultured bacterium. Its description in RNAcentral is "partial 16S ribosomal RNA". It matches the Rfam family "Bacterial small subunit ribosomal RNA", at positions 30 to 523 of the family's 1533-position model. The record is from RNAcentral.
AUUGAACGCUGGCGGAAUGCUUUACACAUGCAAGUCGAACGGCAGCACGGACUUCGGUCUGGUGGCGAGUGGCGAACGGGUGAGUAAUGUAUCGGAACGUGCCCAGUCGUGGGGGAUAACGUAGUGAAAAUUACGCUAAUACCGCAUACGAUCUAUGGAUGAAAGCGGGGGAUCGCAAGACCUCGCGCGAUUGGAGCGGCCGAUAUCAGAUUAGGUAGUUGGCGGGGUAAAGGCCCACCAAGCCAACGGACUGUAGCUGGUCUGAGAGGACGACCAGCCACACUGCAACUGGGACACGGUCCAGACUCCUACGGGAGGCAGCAGUGGGGAAUUUUGGACAAUGGGCGAAAGCCUGAUCCAGCCAUUCCGCGUGCAGGAUGAGGGCCCUCGGGUUGUAAACUGCUUUUGUACAGAACGAAAAGGUUUCUACUAAUACUAGGAGCUCAUGACGGUACUGUAAGAAUAAGCACCGGCUAACUACGUGCCAGCCGCCGCUGUAA